CAAUGAAGCACAGAAGCGUCAAAAUAGAGAAUACAAGCAGCAACAGAGACGAAGCGAUGACAGCUUUUUACGGCGUCUCACGAGUACACUUCAAUCGCGUCGAACUAACGAAAGAAUUCACGGUGAUAGACGGAAAGUGAGCCCAACUUCUACUUCCUCUGUUCCGUCCUGCCCCUGUACAGCGCUUCCAACAGCAAAAGCUUACACACCUCGUCCUUUUGAAUCGAGAUCAAGUCACGUGGCACUUCAAGGACGUGGAACUGAUCCAAGACGUCGAUUCUCCUUUCCUCUUCCGGAAUGGAGUUGAAACUUCAGAAAAGGGAUGUUCGUCCAAUAUGGUGAAAGUUCGGACAUUUUUUAAUUUUGAUUUGGCGUUGAUUUUGAAAAAAAUUUCAUCCAUUUUUUCCAACCAAUCGAACCUAAUUCAUCCCUAUAUAUACUCUCAUUGGUUUCACUGUUGGAAGGGGUUUUUUUUUGGGUUAUUUUUAGAAGAGUCGUGAGACAUAUUGGGAUAAGUAUAAAGAAUUAGCAAGCUUUGAGAGACAGAAAUACACUCAAAUAAAGGUUCUCGAAAUCGCGUAGAAAUCGUUAACCAGGUUUCCUCCAGUCUUUGAUCUCAUCGACCUCUGUUUCGCACAUUCGGGUUCAUCGGAUUUAUUCUAUGUGGUCGUGGAAGCUCUCUCACUCCAUUGGUCUUUCUCGUCUCAGUCUCUCUGCACCGAAAAAGGAUAAAUCCAACACACGAGCCACUAAGAACAAGAAUGGCUACUAUCCCCCCUUCCAUUCCUCAAAGUAUGGUGGAGAUUCAUGAACAACGACGAUAAAAUGAUCGUUCAGAAACACAUAGGUUACCUCCUGUCACUGCUAGAAAUGAAUGCUUCACUCGGUCUAAUUGGAACAAUGGUGAAAUUCUGAGAUAGCGAGCAUAUGGUCUUUCGAUUUGGGGAAGUGGAGUUGACGCCAAAAAUAGAAGAAAUCCUUAUGAGUUACUAAAGCAUCUCCAUGUGCAACAAAAGGAAAUGACAUCCAAAUAUAGAUCUCCUAAAUUCCACAAUAUGGGAUUUCACCAAAAUUAGAGAAAAACUGUGAUUGGUUAAAACAGAUUGGAUGGACAAGCUCCCUGACCCAAAUAUACCUUUCAGAAAACUAUACUACUGGUUUGGACGCGCAAGUUCUUAUGAUAAAUAUAAACACAAGUUCAUUUCAAAAGAAAAAUGGAAAGAGACGCGUCCUCUCGCAUUUGCAAUAUGUUUACUCGAAACGAUGGUUUGCCCUCAAGGGUCAAAAUACACUAUUUAUCCUAGUGUGUUUAUAGUUACUAAUGUCAUCUUUUACGGAGUUAACUAUAAAUCAUCAAUAAAGUACUACAUUUUAGCGCCUAUGAUUUUUGGCCGACAUCUAUAGGGCUUUAGUCAAAUGUCAGAGUGGAGAACGCUUGUUUCAUGGGUGUAAUCUGAUACUAUAGUGGUGGAUUAUGCGACAUUUGAUCAAAACUCAUAAUCCAAAAGAACCAGAUCCCCUAAAGCGGUCAGAUGAGCUACAUGGUCAUGAUUGGUGGUUGUACCACAAUCGCUGCAAUAAGACUGGAGGAGAAAGUUUUUGGUAUCCGAGGCUUCCAGGGUUGAUAGAAGAAGACGUACAAUGGUUAAUAGAAAAUUUGGUGGUAACUAAGAAUAUGGUGGUUUGAACAGAAAAAGUCACUUACUUGGUAUUUGCUGGGUUAAUAGGGACUAGACCAUAUGCUCCCCUUCGAGUCCUAACGCAACUAGGAGGGAAACAAGAGUUGCCCCAGAUCAAAGAUAUGAGGAAAUUUGCAACUGACCACGAGAAUAGACGAGUUGCAUUUGCUGAAGACAUACGUAGGAUGUGGAGAUCUCGAAGAGUGUUGGGUGAACCUGUACCAAACAGGUUUUGUCAAGAAUGUUCUAGGGAGUACAAAGAAUGAUUGAAAACGAGUCUCGCUAGAACUAUUGAGCCUGGUCCAAACAUCCCUCCCCUCACAUUAUUGCAAAUGUUAGAGCCAAACAUCAAGUUCGACUUCAAGAGAAGUUUGAUAAAAAUGUAUUAGAGCAUCAACGUCGUCACUCAGAAGACGCCAAUGGCAUAGCUCAACUGAAACAAGAGCUACGAAGAGACAGACAGUGCAUGACAGAGUUAGAUGAUAGCAUGGAACAACAGAUUCAAUCGAUAGAGGGGUUCAGACAUCAAGAAAGAGCUCGAUUUGCGAGAUAUCAUCUUUGGGCAAACAAAUAUGCUAUGUGGGAAGAGGUCAACAUCGUCAAAAGGAUCAGACUUGGCGAAGGAUCAGAGGACGCUUGAAUUUUAUUCCCCUGCGUAGGACUGCUUUAUUUCUACUUUGUUUUGUAAUUUAUUUUAAGAACUAUUUCCUUGUUUUAUGUUUAUCAGACAUUUUGAAUGUUAUUAAUGAAGUAGUUUUAGGAUAA
Molecule: long non-coding RNA, 2444 nt
Organism: Solanum pennellii
Lineage: Eukaryota; Viridiplantae; Streptophyta; Magnoliopsida; Solanales; Solanaceae
Exons: 2
Source: RefSeq, a predicted model, not a curated record